This 1485-nucleotide ribosomal RNA is filed under the name Triticum aestivum (bread wheat). Its description in RNAcentral is "partial small subunit ribosomal RNA". Lineage: Eukaryota; Viridiplantae; Streptophyta; Magnoliopsida; Poales; Poaceae. The record is from RNAcentral.
AUGGCGGCGGCGGCGGGGGCGAGGAGCAGGGUGGCGUUCGUGCUGGUGGACGGGAUAGGGGACGUGACCAUCCCUUCCCUCGGUGGGCGUACCCCGCUGGAGGCGGCCGCGGCACCACGGCUGGACGCUGUGGCGGCGGCUGGGGUGGUCGGGCUCAUGGACCCCGUGGAGCCGGGGCUCGCCUGCGGCAGCGACACGGCGCACCUCUCCCUCCUCGGGUACGAUCCCCGCGUAUACUACCGCGGCCGCGGCGCGUUCGAGUCCAUGGGCGCUGGCCUCGCCAUGGCCCCGGGCGACAUCGCCUUCAAGUCGAACUUUGCUACAUUGGACGAAAGCACGGGGGUUAUCGUCAGCAGGAGGGCGGAUAGGCACUUUGAGGAGGAAGGCCCAAUCCUCUGUGCUGCAUUAGAUGGAAUGAAGCUCCCAUCAUUUCCCGAAUAUGAAGUGAGAGUCAGGUACGCUACUGAGCACAGAUGUGGUGUGGUUGUGAAAGGACCAAGGCUAAGUGGAAACAUUUCCGGAACUGAUCCGUUGAAAGACAACCGCUUGCAUCUAAAGGCUGAACCUUUGGAUGAUUCGGAAGAAGCUAAAAACACCGCAGCUGUGGUUAACGAGCUCUCUAAGGAGAUCACACGUAUACUGGUUUCUCAACCCAUCAAUGCAAAGCGUGCUGUCGAGAGGAAGAAUAUUGCUAAUGUUGUGCUAUUGCGAGGCUGUGGUAUCCGGAUUGAGGUACCUCCCUUUGAAACCAAGCAUGGACUCACACCAUGCAUGGUAGCUCCUACCAAGAUCAUAGCCGGGCUGGGGCUGUCGUUGGGCAUUGAUAUCCUUGAAGCACCUGGAGCAACUGGAGAUUAUAGAACUCUCUUAACUUCCAAGGCAAAAGCUAUAGCCAAGGCACUCUCUGCUCCUCUGGACACACCACCUCGCGUUUUUGUGCCUGGAGAGGAUGAAUAUAAAGCCGGAAGAGAAAAUGGAUACGACUUUGGUUUCUUGCACAUCAAGGCUAUUGAUGAUGCUGGCCAUGACAAGGCUGUCAAGUUAAAGGUGCGAGGUCUGGAAGCUGUCGACCGGGCUAUUGGUCAGCUUGCAAGGCUCCUGUGGGAAGCUGAGAAGUCGGGGCACUACCAGUACUUCCUCUGUGUCACUGGAGACCACUCUACUCCUGUUGAGUACGGAGACCACAGCUUUGAACCUGUCCCGUUUGCGAUAUGCCGGCUGAGAGAUUUCGUGGGAGCGAUUGGGGAGGGCAAUGUGAUGAAUACCCCCCUCGACGAUUUCCCGCUGCCUUCGGUUAAAUCCGGAGAAGAUUUAACUGAUGAUUCAGAACCAGCGGAACACAAGCCUGAGGAGCGUAAAGCUUUUAGCGGCGAUACAGUGUGUGAAUACACCGAGAUUGCUGCUGCAAGGGGCUGCCUUGGGCGGUUCCCUGGAAGUGAGAUGAUGGGCAUCAUCAAGAAGUUCAUGAAAGCAAAGAACGAUUAA